UGAGGAAUAUUGGUCAAUGGGCGCAAGCCUGAACCAGCCAAGUAGCGUGCAGGAAGACGGCCCUAUGGGUUGUAAACUGCUUUUAUACGAGAAUAAUUUGAUGCACGUGUGCGUUAUUGCAUGUAUCGUAUGAAUAAGGACCGGCUAAUUCCGUGCCAGCAGCCGCGGUAAUACGGAAGGUCCAGGCGUUAUCCGGAUUUAUUGGGUUUAAAGGGAGUGUAGGCGGUUUGUUAAGCGUGUUGUGAAAUUUAGGUGCUCAACAUUUAACUUGCAGCGCGAACUGGCGAACUUGAGUGCACAUAACGUAUGCGGAAUUCAUGGUGUAGCGGUGAAAUGCUUAGAUAUCAUGAAGAACUCCGAUUGCGAAGGCAGCAUACGGGAGUGUAACUGACGCUUAAGCUCGAAGGUGCGGGUAUCGAACAGGAUUAGAUACCCUGGUAGUCCGCACAGUAAACGAUGGAUGCCCGCUGUUAGCGCCUGGCGUUAGCGGCUAAGCGAAAGCAUUAAGCAUCCCACCUGGGGAGUACGCCGGCAACGGUG
Molecule: ribosomal RNA, 540 nt
Filed under: uncultured bacterium
Lineage: Bacteria
Description: bacterial SSU rRNA
Rfam family: Bacterial small subunit ribosomal RNA
Source: RNAcentral